UUUUUUUUUUCACAGUUUAUUGUAUGAGGACACAGUCCUUCACGUUCUUGUUUGUAAUAAAACUGGACAUACACUUUAAAGCAUGAUAAAUAAUACAGCACAGGUGAUACUAAAACAUAACAUAUUGGAAGUUUUUCAUCUCUGUUAUUAUUAACCUAGAACUAACAACUUCAUAAUGCCAGUGAAUCAACAGAGACUUUUUCAUUCAUAGAUGAGUAUUAGGGAAUGCCAGGCAUUCAUUCAUUAAAUGCAUUUUACUUUAGCUUAGUAUCUAAAAUAUGAAUAAUGAAAACAUUGUAAAAUAUACAUUUUCUGAAUUGUAACAAUCAACUUUUUAGUUAAAUAUCUAACUUCUAUUUUUGUAGUUUUGUUUUGUAGAGUCUUGACAUAAUACUAUGUAAUACAAGAGAUGAAUAGUGAAUACAGUCAUCAACACUCACAUUCAUCCUUUAUGAAAAGUAACC
Biomphalaria pfeifferi is the source of this 464-nucleotide non-coding RNA. The record is from the annotation of a GenBank genome assembly. Lineage: Eukaryota; Metazoa; Mollusca; Gastropoda; Planorbidae.